Molecule: ribosomal RNA, 273 nt
Filed under: uncultured bacterium
Lineage: Bacteria
Description: partial 16S ribosomal RNA
Rfam family: Bacterial small subunit ribosomal RNA
Source: RNAcentral
UACGUAGGUGGCAAGCGUUGUCCGGAAUUAUUGGGCGUAAAGCGCGCGCAGGCGGUUCCUUAAGUCUGAUGUGAAAGCCCACGGCUCAACCGUGGAGGGUCAUUGGAAACUGGGGAACUUGAGUGCAGAAGAGGAAAGCGGAAUUCCACGUGUAGCGGUGAAAUGCGUAGAGAUGUGGAGGAACACCAGUGGCGAAGGCGGCUUUCUGGUCUGUAACUGACGCUGAGGCGCGCAAGCGUGGGGAGCAAACAGGAUGAGAAACCCCCGUAGUCC